UAACGCAGCUAACGCGUGAAGUAGACCGCCUGGGGAGUACGGUCGCAAGAUUAAAACUCAAAUGAAUUGACGGGGGCCCGCACAAGCGGUGGAUUAUGUGGAUUAAUUCGAUGCAACGCGAAAAACCUUACCUGGCCUUGACAUGUAACGAACUUUCCAGAGAUGGAUUGGUGCCCGAAAGAGAACGUUAACACAGGUGCUGCAUGGCUGUCGUCAGCUCGUGUCGUGAGAUGUUGGGUUAAGUCCCGCAACGAGCGCAACCCUUGCCAUUAAUUGCCAUCAUUUAGUUGGGCACUUUAAUGGGACUGCCGGUGACAAACCGGAGGAAGGUGGGGAUGACGUCAAGUCCUCAUGGCCCUUAUGGCCAGGGCUUCACACGUAAUACAAUGGUCGGUACAGAGGGUUGCCAAGCCGCGAGGUGGAGCCAAUCCCAGAAAGCCGAUCGUAGUCCGGAUUGUAGUCUGCAACUCGACUACAUGAAGUCGGAAUCGCUAGUAAUCGCGGAUCAGCAUGUCGCGGUGAAUACGUUCCCGGGCCUUGUACACACCGCCCGUCACACCAUGGGAGUGGGUUUUACCAGAAGUA
RNAcentral lists this ribosomal RNA (585 nucleotides) under uncultured bacterium. RNAcentral's name for it is "bacterial SSU rRNA". It matches the Rfam family "Bacterial small subunit ribosomal RNA", at positions 844 to 1428 of the family's 1533-position model. The record is from RNAcentral.